This 3184-nucleotide long non-coding RNA is filed under the name Rattus norvegicus (Norway rat). Its description in RNAcentral is "long non-coding RNA NONRATT027708". The record is from RNAcentral. Lineage: Eukaryota; Metazoa; Chordata; Mammalia; Rodentia; Muridae.
AGUAGUAGUAGUAGUAGUAGCAGCAGCAGCAGCUCAAAAUCAUGAAAAGAAAUAAAAUGUACAUUUAUUACAGGGUGUAAAGGCUGUUUUGGCUGAAAGCUAUGAAAAGAUACACAAAGAUCAUUUGAUUGGAAUUGGUAUAGCACCACUUGAGUUCCUCCCAGGAGAAAAUGCAGAUUCCUUGGGCCUCUCCGGCAGAGAAGUAUUUUCUUUAUCAUUUCCUGAAGAACUCUUUCCUGGAAUUACGUUAAAUAUAAAGACGAGCACUGGCAAAGAGUUCAGCGUGAUUGCAGCAUUUGAAAAUGAUGUGGAGAUAACUUUGUACAAACAUGGAGGAUUGUUAAACUUUGUGGCUCGAAAAUUCUUAUAGUAUCUACUCCCCAUGGUAUCUUUCAUGGCUGGUAACUGCAAAGCCUUCUUCUGUGCUGGACCCAGGAAUCAUUGCCAUGGAACUGCAGAUGAUUUCAGUAUACUUCUCUCCUCCAUGGAUGUAAAUGAUAACGAAUCAACGUAGUGACUAAAAUGAAAUCUUGAUUUUAAAUAAUAUACGAAUGGUGCUAUUAACAUUGCUAAAAUCAACGUGUGAAGUGUGUUGUGGAAGAGACCUGUAAGUAUGGGGGGUAUAUUUUAUGAGAACAUUUUGUAAAUAAAGACAGAAUUUGAACUUGUGUUGAAGAUUCAUAUGAAUAGCCGUUCUAAAGCUGUUUGUUUUGUUUUGCACCUUAAAACUGGACUACUGUUUGUUGGUUUAAGAAUAGCAAGUUGAUUUAGAAGAAGCCAGACUAGAUCCUAAAAUUAUGGAAAUGGGUACCUGAUUUAGAAAUGAAUUUUUAAAUGUUUUUCUUUCCAGAAUUGAAUUGGACACAAUUGGCAUUUCCAGUUUGUAAUGUAAGUCAGGUUUGGCCUUAGUCUCAAUACAUCUGCAAGGCAUAGAACCUGCCCCAGAUCACAGUCCCUCUGACCAGCCAAAAUGUCCUCCAUGUCUGCAGAUAAAUGACUGUAAAAUACAGCUGAUUGUGUGGUACCGUGUAUUAGUAAGAAUAUAUUUCCUGUGGUAUAGCCCUGUAAUUUUUUCAGUAACUUGCCACUAUGACCCACUCACAAGCCCAAAUACUGGUGUAUUAAUUUGGACUAGAUUUUGCUCAUUUUACAUGACUGUAACUCCUGUAACCUCAAUUAGGAAUCACUAGCUGACAUUCCACACUCCUUUUAUGACUGCUGGAAACAAUUUGAGUCAAACUCUAGAUUUCCUUUAGACUUAUAAAUUAUCCAUCCAUAGUUAUGGCUAUGGAUAUGCACCCCUAAGGGUUUUGGUUUGAUUUUUGUUUUUUUUAACAGUCCUUUAAGUUGACUCCUUGCUAUUUGGGUCUUUCUUUUAUCUGGGAAACAUCACUGUGUUAAUUUCAUUAUUAUUUGUUUUUUUAAUUAAAAUUGACCCUAAAGAUAAGACAGUUGGUGGUCACUGCUGUUUGUGUGUGUGUGUGUGUCAUGUGUCUGCAGUUGCAUUAUCUUUUACACCACAUCACAUGCUUCCAUGUUUAACAUCAUUUUUAAAAGGCCGGAAAUUAAUUUUAGAAAGCCCUAUGCCUCUUUUUAAUUAAGAAGUUAAACGUAGCAGCAAAAAGUUAAGCGUAGUGAUUUUUUUUAAAUUUUUUUUAUCUGAUCUGUUCUUGUGCAUUGCACAAAAUGAAAAGUACUUGUUUUAUGCUAAACAUAAGGAACUACCAAACCAGUGAGUGAAGAGAGCUGAGGACUUUUCACACAGGAUCAGUCGUACAGUCUUCAAAAUAUUUUUCAAAUAUGUACUUAGUUGGACUAGAGUCUGACAAAACUAGUCUCUUUAGUAAAUGUUUUCUUCGCUACUUUGAAACCAUACUGUGUUCUGGUAGAUGCCAUGUAUUUGUCUGCACAUAUAUGUUAAUCUGUGGAAGCCUGAAUCAGGAAUGGAGAAUUUACAAGUUGAGUAUUAAAAUACUGGUACAUGCUUUAAAAAAAUGGUAAUUCCAGAUGUAUAUAUGGGGGAAAAAAUCUGUCAUAUUUUGAAGGUAUACUUUGCCUGUAGUCUGAGCUGCAGGUGUGGACAUAAAUGUCUGAAAAUGGUAAACUCGCUAUGAAUCAAACAUUAAUUAUUAAUCAAACAUUUCCAAUACAGUAAUGGUAUAGAAAUUGCAUUUCAGGAACAAAUUCAAGGUUCUCUUAAUAUCUCACCUAGAAACAGUGACCUAAACUCUUGAUAAGCAUGGUUUUAAAUGGGGGAAGGAAAUUAAGCACAUGUUCCAAUGUGUGCAUCUUGUGAUUCUGCCUCCAGCCAAAUAAUGCAAAAAUGUGGCACCUGUUUUUGUUACUUUUUUGUUGACUAUUUUUAGUAUUUUUUGUUAUUUUCUAAAAAUUACCAAUAUUUGGAGAAAGAAAGUGAACACAAAAAAAAAGUCAGUAUUUUGGAUGCAGCACAGUUACCAACAGCAGCAUUUUAGUCUCUUAAGAGCAGUGUGCUCCGGCUGUUGUGUGCCUUACUUGUGCUGCUCAUACAGAUGAAGGAAAGGAGAGGCCUCCAGACACCGAACUGCCAUUGUUAGUUACUCCUUGAAGGUUCUCAAGAUGGCAAGUACCUGUUAGUACCUGAUGAGAGAGAGGCACAGCAUCUCCUCACCACACUGCUUGGAUUUUUCACUGGUAUUGUCCUAAAAGCUGUAAAGCUAAGAGCUCAGCCAGAGUCAGUUAUUUGCUUAUAUGGUGACAAUGUAGUGUCCAUCCCUCUUCUCCAUGGUGACAGGAUGAGGAAAAUUGACGUUUUUCAGAGCCUUUUGCCUUUGAGUCUAGAGAGAAGAUAUUAAGGUACUGGAUAAUGAUAAUGUAUUUGAUUUGGGGAGUAAAAAAGGAGAAGGAAGUGAACUUUGGCUCUUUUUCAUUGGGGUCUUUUCCCCUUCAAGGUGACUGUGCUGAUUUGUUUUGUUUUUGUUUGUUUUAUCAAUUUUAUGCAUUAUAUGUGACUGUAAAACCAUAUAUAUCUCUUAAGUAACUACAAAUCAUUGUUAUUUAAAGCCAACAAAAUAGCAUAACAGUUUUAAGUUCAAUAAUGUUAAGUAUUGUAUAGAAAUAUAUUGGAGGUAAAGUUCAGUUAUGAAAUUGUGUAUAUGUUAUUGAUGCUGUAAAUUAUUUUUAAUAAAGAAAAUUGUAUUAUCAC